RNAcentral lists this ribosomal RNA (537 nucleotides) under uncultured Glomus. RNAcentral's name for it is "eukaryotic LSU rRNA". The stretch from base 146 to 299 matches the Rfam family "5.8S ribosomal RNA". Lineage: Eukaryota; Fungi; Glomeromycota; Glomeromycetes; Glomerales; Glomeraceae. The record is from RNAcentral.
GUACAAGGUUCCGUAGGUGACCUGCGGAAGGAUCAUUACCGAUUUUAGCGUGCCUGGUCGUUGACCAUGGUCUCGCGAAAUUUUGUAUUUAAAACCCACACUUGAAUAAUUUUUUUAAAUCAUAUUUUAUGAUAAAAAUAAAGAUCACUUUCAACAACGGAUCUCUUGGCUCUCGCAUCGAUGAAGAACGUAGCGAAGUGCGAUAAGUAAUGUGAAUUGCAGAAUUCCGUGAGUCAUCGAAUCUUUGAACGCAAAUUGCACUCUCUGGUAUUCCGGGGAGUAUGCCUGUUUGAGGGUCAGUUWAAAUAAAAAUCGAUGUGUCGCWUUUGUGACGCUUCGGAAUUGGGUCAUCUUGAUCUCUGGGUUUAGGGACCUAAAAUUGAUACCUUUCCGAGCAUYUUGGACGUACGUAACCUYUCAAGUGCCGGAUCUUUUACUAGGUAUGAUCAUGCUUCGCGUGGCCUCGUACCUAUAACGUGUACUCAUAUUUUGACCUCAAAUCAGGUAGGAACACCCGCUGAACUUAAGCAUAUCAAU